CCACGAAUAUAAGGAAUUGAAGG
Molecule: small nuclear RNA, 23 nt
Filed under: Arabidopsis thaliana (thale cress)
Lineage: Eukaryota; Viridiplantae; Streptophyta; Magnoliopsida; Brassicales; Brassicaceae
Description: snRNA_16278
Source: RNAcentral